AGCUCAGACACAUGGCACUCUUCUACAGCUCCGGAGGGGCUGUGGACUUUAGCAUCAAUCUUGCCCUUUGCCCCGUUCAGCCUUAUAGCAAAGGAUGCCGGCUGAUUAACUUUUAAUCCAGACUCCUGAAGGCUAGUGACAGUCAGCCUGCGAGCAUCAUCAGACGGGGCGAUGAUGGGAACCAGGUAGGGGCUUUCAGGAAUGUGCUCAUCAUUGAACUUUAUGGACACCUCAUAGUUGCCUGGCUCUUGAACUAUGUAAGAUACACCACAAGAUCCAUCUUUAUGGUCUUCAAAGGCAAUUUCUGCUUUACUUGGACCUUCUACAGCAAUGGACAGUCCUCCAGCUCCAGCCUCCCGUGUCCAUAUGCUGAACUCAGCUGGGACACCCGUCUCUCCACGCUCCAGCCCUGGGCCUCCAGCUCUCACUUUAUGGGCUCCUCCCUCGCCGAGCGGCCCCACGGUGAACUGGAAGGGGCUGCCUGGCACGGGCUGCCCUCUGUAUUUGACAUCCACCGUGUGGACCCCCAUUUCUUGCGGCACAAAGCGGACACAGUAGGUGUUUUUGUCAACUUCUACUAUUUCUGCAUCGGAGUUUCUUCCAGAGGGACUAGUUACCUGGGCCGUCAUGUCCCCACAGUCAAUUUCUGGGAUUUUUAGGUUUAGAUCACAUAUGCUUCCAACUGUUGCAACAGAGGGAGCCCGUCUUGUUCGUGUGAUGCUCUCCUUAACUCUUCCCUCACCACUUAUCUUCACAGUAAAUGGGCUGCCUGGAAUAUGUUCAUCUGCAAAUUUAGUGGACACAAUGUACACGCCAGGUACAGUUGGAAAAUAAGAUACUUUGCAAGUUCCAUCUUCUAGGUCUUCAGUUUGGAUAUCUACCUUGCUGGGUCCUUCAACUGCCAGUGAGAUCCCACCAUAACCUGCAUCUCUUGUGUCUACAAUGAAGUCACACAUUUCAAAGGUUCGCCCUUCUACCAAACCACGUCCAUAAACUCUUGCUCGUCUGGCAUCUCCUAUCUCAGACUGGACCACCAUGAUUGUCACAGGGCUGUUUGGUACGUGGUUCCCAUUUUUCUUGAUGCUAACCAGAUGUUCU
Molecule: long non-coding RNA, 1098 nt
Filed under: Gallus gallus (chicken)
Lineage: Eukaryota; Metazoa; Chordata; Aves; Galliformes; Phasianidae
Source: RNAcentral